This 492-nucleotide ribosomal RNA is filed under the name uncultured bacterium. RNAcentral describes it as "bacterial SSU rRNA". It matches the Rfam family "Bacterial small subunit ribosomal RNA", at positions 903 to 1397 of the family's 1533-position model. The record is from RNAcentral.
AAAGGAAUUGACGGGGACCCGCACAAGCGGAGGAACAUGUGGUUCAAUUCGAUGAUACGCGAGGAACCUUACCUGGGCUUAAAUGCAGAACGACAGGCUGGGAAACUGGCCCUUCUUCGGACGGUCUGCAAGGUGCUGCAUGGUUGUCGUCAGCUCGUGCCGUGAGGUGUCGGGUUAAGUCCCAUAACGAGCGCAACCCUUAUCGUUAGUUGCCAACGGGUCAUGCCGGGGACUCUAACGAAACUGCCGGCGUAAGCCGUGAGGAAGGUGGGGAUGACGUCAAAUCAGCACGGCCCUUAUGUCCAGGGCUACACACGUGUUACAAUGGCCGGAACAAAGGGCUGCUAUGCCGCGAGGCAAUGCUAAUCUCUAAAACCGGUCUCAGUUCGGAUCGAAGUCUGCAAUUCGACUUCGUGAAGUUGGAUUCGCUAGUAAUCGCGCAUCAGCAAUGGCGCGGUGAAUACGUUCCCGGGUCUUGUACACACCGCCCGU